UCUACUAGCAGAAGCUCCACCUACCCUGCAGUUGGCAAUGUUCUCACCGAGUCGGCCCAAGGUGAGCGAGGCGGAGUACUUAGAGGCCCAGAGACAGAGACUGGCUGAGGUGCAGCGGAACAGGCAGAUAUUGGAGGAAGAUAUUUAUAGAAGAAAUAUCUGUGUGGAGUUCAAAGGACACAUACAAUACAACAACAACAACUGCAGAAAUGGGAGGAAAAGAGACAAAGAGAACAGAAAGCCCUGGAUCACUUGAAUCAAGAUGUGUACAAUAGCUAUAAUGGUAACUUAGGAAGAGAGAGAUCAAGCCCAGAUGUAGGCAUAGAUGUGAGAUCUGGUGGUAGUCCACGCCCACGUGUCCUUGAAGAUGUCAUCAGCAGUCGCAACAAGGAGCAUGCGCGGAAGAGGGAGGAGUACACACUACA
Long non-coding RNA from Lingula anatina, 425 nucleotides. The record is from RefSeq and is a predicted model, not a curated record. Lineage: Eukaryota; Metazoa; Brachiopoda; Lingulata; Lingulida; Lingulidae.